RNAcentral lists this unclassified non-coding RNA (264 nucleotides) under Hevea brasiliensis (rubber tree). The record is from RNAcentral. Lineage: Eukaryota; Viridiplantae; Streptophyta; Magnoliopsida; Malpighiales; Euphorbiaceae.
GUUGGUGUUCGUGGAGUCUUUGGAGGAGUUGUCCAAAAUAUGCAUCUCCACUGGAAGUUUCAUGAGACUGUGCAGGUUUGUUGUGAUAACUUUCCCAAGGAAAAAAUUAAGGAGAUGGCUUCUAUGCUGGCUCGACUAAGUGGUGGAAUAGUGAUUAACAUACAUAAUGUGAAAACGAUUAUUAUGUUUCGUGGCAGAAACUACCGGCAGCCAAAGAAUUUGAUACCUGUCAACACACUUACAAAAAGGAAGGCAUUAUUUAAA